Molecule: long non-coding RNA, 216 nt
Filed under: Elaeis guineensis (African oil palm)
Lineage: Eukaryota; Viridiplantae; Streptophyta; Magnoliopsida; Arecales; Arecaceae
Description: long non-coding RNA (EGUI_LNC058760)
Source: RNAcentral
AACUGGACCUGAAGGUUGGGAGCGAGCAUUGAGGCGACAAUCCGAUAGAGUUCUAGUACCAAAGAUAGUGAAAAGUAAAAAUUUGACUGAGAGUGACCCUAUAUAUAGGAUCCCUCAAUGACUGAGAUGAAAGCAAUCAAAUCGAAGAUCUACCAAAUAAAGACAAAUGGCAACAUCUGGACAACCAUUGAUCGGAUGGUUUGACGCACCUACUCC